AUGGUUCAGUCGCCGGGCAAAGCAUCCUUCCAGGAUCCAACAGAUAAACAUAGGCCACGAACUCAUGCCUUCCAUCCGCGGGAGCGGCGAACGAAGCAGGGUUCGACACAUGCCACCAAGGACAGUGGCAGGGGCGGAGGAGGAGGGAAGGCAGCGGGCAGCAGCGGCAGAGGCGGAGGAGAAGAGGAGGUGUCGUGGACCGACGACCGUGCCAAAGGGGCUGACCACACGCAGAGAUCGAGGGGAGGCGGCGGGCAGCACCGGCAAAGGCGGAGAUGCCGUGGACCGGCGACCGUGCCAGAGGGGCUGACCACACACUGA
RNAcentral lists this ribosomal RNA (321 nucleotides) under Triticum aestivum (bread wheat). Its description in RNAcentral is "partial small subunit ribosomal RNA". Lineage: Eukaryota; Viridiplantae; Streptophyta; Magnoliopsida; Poales; Poaceae. The record is from RNAcentral.